This 243-nucleotide ribosomal RNA is filed under the name uncultured bacterium. RNAcentral's name for it is "partial 16S ribosomal RNA". It matches the Rfam family "Bacterial small subunit ribosomal RNA", at positions 91 to 334 of the family's 1533-position model. The record is from RNAcentral.
AUGAGUGGCGAACGGGUGAGUAACACGUGAGUAACCUGCCUCUUCUUUGGGAUAACGCCCGGAAACGGGUGCUAAUACUGGAUAUUCACUGAUCUUCGCAUGGGGGUUGGUGGAAAGGUUUUUCUGGUGGGGGAUGGGCUCGCGGCCUAUCAGCUUGUUGGUGGGGUGAUGGCCUACCAAGGCUUUGACGGGUAGCCGGCCUGAGAGGGUGACCGGUCACAUUGGGACUGAGAUACGGCCCAG